Molecule: ribosomal RNA, 600 nt
Filed under: uncultured bacterium
Lineage: Bacteria
Description: bacterial SSU rRNA
Rfam family: Bacterial small subunit ribosomal RNA
Source: RNAcentral
CGUACGUGCGGACACGUGUGCACCUGCCCUUUAUCUGGGGGGAUAGCNUUUCGAAAGGAGAUUAUUACCCCAUAUUAUGUUGANUGGCUCAUUCGACAUUGAAAACUCCGGUGGAUAGAGAUGGGGCACGCGCAAGAUUAGAUAGUUGGUGAGGUAACGGGCUCACCAAAGUCUACGAUCUUUAGGGGCCUGAGGGGGUGAUCCCCCAACACUGUACUGAAACCCGGGACCAAAACUCUUACGGGAGGCAGGCAGGUGAGGAUUAUUGGACCAAUGGGUGAGAGCCUGAUCCAGCCAUCCCGCGUGAAAGGACGACUGCCCUAUGGGUUGUAAACUUCUUUUGUAUAGGGAUAAACCUACCCCCGUGAGGGUAGCUGAAGGUACUAUACGAAUAAGCACCGGCUAACUCCGUGCCAGCAGCCGCGGUAAUACGGAGGGUGCAAGCGUUAUCCGGAUUUAUUGGGUUUAAAGGGUCCGUAGGCGGAUCUGUAAGUCAGUGGUGAAAUCUCACAGCUUAACUGUGAAACUGCCAUUGAUACUGCAGGUCUUGAGUGUUGUUGAAGUAGCUGGAAUAAGUAGUGUAGCGGUGAAAUGCAUAGA